GACGAACGCUGGCGGCGUGCCUAAUACAUGCAAGUAGAACGCACAGUUUAUACCGUAGCUUGCUACACCAUAGACUGUGAGUUGCGAACGGGUGAGUAACGCGUAGGUAACCUGCCUGGUAGCGGGGGAUAACUAUUGGAAACGAUAGCUAAUACCGCAUAAUAUUAAUUAUUGCAUGAUAAUUAAUUGAAAGGUGCAAUUGCACCACUACCAGAUGGACCUGCGCUGUAUUAGCUAGUAGGUGAGGUAACGGUUCACCUAGGCGACGAUACAUAGCCGACCUGAGAGGGUGAUCGGCCACACUGGGACUGAGACACGGCCCAGACUCCUACGGGAGGCAGCAGUAGGGAAUCUUCGGCAAUGGACGAAAGUCUGACCGAGCAACGCCGCGUGAGUGAAGAAGGUUUUCGGAUCGUAAAGCUCUGUUGUAAGAGAAGAACGGGUGUGAGAGUGGAAAGUUCACACUGUGACGGUAUCUUACCAGAAAGGGACGGCUAACUACGUG
Molecule: ribosomal RNA, 505 nt
Filed under: uncultured bacterium
Lineage: Bacteria
Description: partial 16S ribosomal RNA
Rfam family: Bacterial small subunit ribosomal RNA
Source: RNAcentral